Molecule: non-coding RNA, 357 nt
Organism: Pelobates cultripes (western spadefoot toad)
Lineage: Eukaryota; Metazoa; Chordata; Amphibia; Anura; Pelobatidae
Source: the annotation of a GenBank genome assembly
CACACACACAGAUCGUAGACUUAGCCACACCCAUUUUCACCUAGAGAAAAUACACACACUGACACACAUACAGAUGCAAACACUGACACAAAAACAGAUACACACAUACACAGGCUCAGACAUACACAGGUACAUACAUCCAAAUACACAGACACACAGGUGCAUACACAGAUACACACUGGCACACAUACAGAUACACUCACUGACAAACAUACAGACACACACAUUCUGACAUAUAUGCAGAUACACACAGAUACAUACACAGACACACAUGCAGUUACACAGACACCUACAGAUGCAUAGACACACAUACAGAUACACAAGAGCAUACACUGACACAAAUACCAAGAGAUACAC